GAAUAGACGGAGACCCACACAAGCGGUGGAGCAUCUUGUUUAAUUCGACAGUAAGCGGGAAACCUUACCUGGGCUUGACAUCCCCGGAGAAUUUUCUAGAGAUAGAAAAGUGCCUUUUGGAACUCCGGUGACAGGUGCUGCAUGGUUGUCGUCAGCUCGUGCCUUGAGGUGUUCGGUUAAGUCCGUAAACGAGCGCAACCCUAGUCGUAUGUUGUAUUUCUCAUACGAGACUGCCGGUUACAAAUCGGAGGAAGGUUAGGAUGAUGUCAAAUCAGCAUGGCCCUUAUGCCCAGGGCUACAAAGGUGCUACAAUGGUAGGUACAACGGGCAGCGAAAGAGCAAUCUGGAGCCAAUCCCUUAAAGCCUAUCUUAGUUCGGAUUAAGGUCUGCAACUCGACCUUAUGAAGUUGGAAUCGCUAGUAACCGCAUAUCAGCUAUGGUGCGGUGAAUAUGUUCCUGGGUCUUGUACUCACCGCCCGUCAAGGCACGAAAGGUGGGNGUGCCCGAAGUCCCUCAAUUAUGGGGGCCUAAGGCAAAACCACUGAUUGGGCUUAAGUCGUAACAAGGUA
RNAcentral lists this ribosomal RNA (569 nucleotides) under uncultured marine bacterium. Its description in RNAcentral is "bacterial SSU rRNA". It matches the Rfam family "Bacterial small subunit ribosomal RNA", at positions 907 to 1498 of the family's 1533-position model. The record is from RNAcentral.